This is a long non-coding RNA of Leopardus geoffroyi (Geoffroy's cat), 2575 nucleotides long. RefSeq lists it as uncharacterized. Lineage: Eukaryota; Metazoa; Chordata; Mammalia; Carnivora; Felidae. The transcript is spliced from 7 exons. The record is from RefSeq and is a predicted model, not a curated record.
UCCAUCAACCUAGGCCAAGUUCCAACAACUGUCCUAGUUUCAGUCUAGAGCCUCUAAUUACUAUGAUUUCUCCUGUGGUGGCCUGAAGAGCAAAGGUAUUUUGCGUUCAGCGAGAUUCCAAGGGGUGCGUGAGUCUUGCAGAAGCAUUUCUAGUAUAGACUAAAAAAGCCUAUGCUUCGCAGUUGCCGUAGAAACCUGACGUCAUAGGGCGACCGUGACGAAUUUUUAAUAAGCCCUGGUUUGGAGAGCGGGUCUCGACCUCAGAAGUUUGGGACUCAGCUGAGAGUGUGGGGUCCCGCUGAGGGGGCUGAACCGCCUUGGAGUGUGAGGAGACAGAAGAAUCCAGAUCCAGCUUUUCCCGCUUUGGGGCUCGGUGCCCCGGCUGUCUUGUAUGUAAAGCCAUUGUGGUCCCUCCCAGCUCCAGUGAGUGUAAGUGUUCCUGCUGUGGUGUCCUGGAGCUGCUUUCCUCUAAAGACAAGGAUGCGGGAGGUUAAGACAGUGGAACAACAGACAGGCAUGUGAAUUCUGAGCCCUGAAAACAGGAACCGAUAGAGAAGAACAAAGUGUGAUGUAGAGUGUGCUAGACUGGUUCCUAGAGCAAGAAUGAAGAGAUCAGGGUCCCAUCAUUGGGACACUUUAGAUGCUGAAUUUCUGGGACUCAGGAUGAAAAUUGGACUAAACUUGCUUGAAAUGGAGUCCAUUUGAGGUCAAGCCUCAACACCUCAUAGGUUGUACAAGGAAAAUACUUCAAAGUUGUUUUAAUCCACGUGUGUUGAUUACCCUGGGCCCUGGUCUGAAGGAGCCUGUGACUGAAGUUCUCCCUGAAUCCAAGCGUUGAAGCAUUUUCCCCUCUGGCUGCUGUGGGCUGAGUGCUGGGCAACCUCAUGCAGCUUUUACCUUUCUCUCUCAGUUGAACAUCAAAGCAGUGUGUGGACUCUGACCCCAGAAAGAAGAGUUGAAAGAGAAAAACCAAAUAUGAUGUUCAGUGUGCUUGACAAUUUCCUGGAGCAAGAGUGAAGAGAACAGGAUCCCAUCACUGAGACAUUUUAGGUAGAAUUCUUCUGUGAAACAAAGUACCCCUCAGCGACUACAUGGUUAUACUGAAGAAUAGUCCAUAUAGAAGGGAAGGAUGAAUGCUUACUUCUUUUGCAGUAUUUCCACUUUUCAAAACAAUGUGUUGUUUUUCCAGAAUACUUCAAAGGCUUUGUCGCAAGCAAGGUACUGUUUCCCCAGAAACUGUCUUUUAAGACUAUGUGACAAGAAGGAAUUCAACCACUUACAUUAGAGGCACCCUGGGUGAGUUCUCCAUCCUGUUACUUCCUCAGUAUCUUUGGGUUUCAGAGCAUUUACUCUUAUUCUGGGUCAGGAUAAUGCUGCUGACCAAUCACAAAUGAUGCAGGAACAGAUAUCUGGAGCCACCAUGGCCAUGCCCAGGCACCAACACAGGUUUCAAGACACAGUAGGAUGUUUCAGAACUGACACAUCACUAGUGGGUACUAAAUGAUAUCAAAGAUGAGCUCAUGGAUGAAGACUGGUGAGUCCAAUAGUGAAAAUAAGAGAAAGGGGAAACCCAAAGCUAGGGAAAAUAUACAAAACUUAGCAAAAACUCCAUUGGUGGAAAAAGCCUUGCCAAUUAUACCUAAUUAUUAUGUACUUUCGGCCUGCCUUCUAAACACAAAAAACUCUUUUCUUUCCUUGGGAUCAAAGCACGCAUUUAACCUUUAAUUUUUUGUUAGUGUUUUUAAUCCUUUCUUUAGACAAAUGAUGCAUUUCAUUGCUGAAAACGUAGCACUUAUGGAUGAACAAAUUGAAGCUCCCUAUGUUGUUCAUUUUGAGCCUGCAGAAUGACAUACAGAGCAAAUGUGUCAAAACCUUUUUCAAAUAAGUUCUUUUCAGAGUAAAUACCCCGAGCCAGCACAGACUUAGUAAAGCUAUAUUGUUUAACAAUGUUCAGUGAAAAUCAGUGACCCUGAGACAUGCCACAUUUCAAGUGCUUUGGGAAUCAUCAAAGACACAUUCAACAAUGCAAGAUCUUCAUCUGGAGUUCAGAAUAUAUCAAAUCCAUUGACAAGUCAGUGGUGCUGUACUGUAUAUAUCUACUUGGUUGAAGAUAUGACUUUAUUUUUUGUAAGAGAGUUUCCAUAUCUAAGUGAGAAGGGAGAGAGAGCAAACUGGCAAACAUAUAGUUAAGGCUUUCCCAGGAAUAAUGUCUUUUGGAUCAACUGUCCCAAGGGAGUGGCAGAUGCCAUUUAUGUACCAAGAGGUGAAUGUAAUUUCCCUGUUGAAUGCUGUAAUCAAGAACAAACAACUGUUGACUCUACAAAUUUAACAAUACUGUGUUCGUUUUAAUUUUUUUUUAAUUGACUGUGUGUCUUUCUUUGUCCCCUACAGCUCUACCACCUCCAAAACACGCUUACAGUUAUAGCUUACUGUCAGUUCAGACCAGAGCUGGACCUCCAAUAUCAGGAUUAGAUAUCCCAUAAAAUGUGGGUGUUUUUUUAGUAUCAGAAAAGUGAUAGAUACAGAGGGAUUGUUUGAGUUGAGUGAAAUUCCAAAGAGCUGCCUGAUUCCAUGA